This 17-nucleotide unclassified non-coding RNA is filed under the name Mus musculus (house mouse). Its description in RNAcentral is "oocyte_clustered_small_RNA3542". The record is from RNAcentral. Lineage: Eukaryota; Metazoa; Chordata; Mammalia; Rodentia; Muridae.
CCUGACCUAAACUUUCC